This 328-nucleotide ribosomal RNA is filed under the name uncultured bacterium. Its description in RNAcentral is "bacterial SSU rRNA". It matches the Rfam family "Bacterial small subunit ribosomal RNA", at positions 570 to 898 of the family's 1533-position model. The record is from RNAcentral.
CGUAGGUGGUAGUGUAAGUCUGGGGUGGAAUGCCGGGGCUUAACCCUGGAAUUGCCUUGGAAACUGCAUUACUUGAGUCAGUGAGGGGAGGGUAGAAUUCCUGGUGUAGCGGUGAAAUGCGUAGAUAUCAGGAGGAAGACCUGUGGCGAAGGCGGCCCUCUGGUGCUGGACUGACACUGAGGCGCGAAAGCGUGGGGAGCAAACAGGAUUAGAUACCCUGGUAGUCCACGCCCUAAACGGUGGGCACUAGGUGUAGGGCUCGUAAGGGUUCUGUGCCGAAGGGAAACCAUUAAGUGCCCCGCCUGGGGAGUACGGCCGCAAGGUUGAA